CUGACUUGCCCAGUCUGGAAGCUCCCUGAAAGCCUGGCAGGCCACCCUACUUCAGCUGCAUUCGGUCCAUACACUGAGGGUCUCAGUGGGGAAAAAGCAGAGUCAUUUUAAAGAAACAUGGAUCUUAGUUUCUAGAAGGUUUUUCCCCAUCUGGCAGACAAAUUUAUGCCUAUUCCACACACAGUUCUGGAGGCUGGGAGGUUCAAGAUCAAGAUGCAGGCAGAUUCAUCUCCUGGCCCUCGUGUGUGAUGUUCUCCUCCCUGUAUCCCAGCGGAUUAAGAUGCUCAUUUCUUAAAAUUCAGGGGAAAGAUGGACACUACCGGUUCCGUGGCCCAGGGUUUUGGAAGAGGCGGCCUCCGGAUGACUGGAUGCACUUCUCCCUGGGACUCACCCUGUGUCGUUACAGCUCGAGCUUACUGAAAAUAACAGACAGACACCUCCACUUGUCCCCUCCAACAGAGUGGCUGCACUGGCAGCUCUCUAAUGAGUUCUAACCCCAUAGGGGCAGUUAUGAAACUGAUGCAAAAAGGAUACAAUCAAGAUAGAAGUCAAUAAGGAGCACAGAAGGCAUGAGUAAGACUUGCAUCAGAGAGGCCAAAACCCAAAAUGCGCUGGGGGUUGUGGGAGCGGCUGAAGAGCCUGGAGAAGCCGCUUAUAGUCAUUUUAAGUCAGAUUAAAGGAGUGUGUUUGGCUGACGAGAGGACCCCAUGCUUGCAUGUAUGGAGCCUUAUCUCAGCUUCCAUACCUACAAAGGGGACAUGAUUGGUGUCUACCCCAGAGAGUGGUUUUAAGAAUUAAACAAAAUGACGUGUGUGAAACUCUUGGAACAGUGUCUGGUUCAUGGCAGGAGGUGUCCGUGACGUGCCUGAGGCCAUUUGUGUGCUUACCUGUGUGUUUCUGUAAAGCAGACCCAGUGCAGGGCACCAGGGAUGUGGUGGGAGCCACACGGGAUGAUGACGUUCCUACCCUCAGGGAGCUCACACUUACGAGGGGGCAGUAGAGGUUGGGAGUGGAUAGCCUUGGAGGAGAGGGGUGGGGGUUGUCGGGAAGAGGGAGGGCUUACCUGAGCAGGAGCUGUUGAAACUGCAAGGGAGGCGGCUGGGUGGUGAGGGCAGAGCAGCAGCAAAAGGUUGGGGAUAAGGAACUGAGAGUGGGCCCUGACUGCUGAACAGGGACUGCUGUGGCAAGAGGCUUGGAGGAAGCAGAACUCAGGCACUUUCUGUUUGGUUUUAGUCUUCCUUGACAAACAGAAUCAAUUUCAGAUGAAAACGGCUUCAAUAUUGCAGAGAGGAAAUCAAAAGAGCAACUUAGCCGAGUGUGGUGGUGCAUCUGUAGUCCCAGCCACU
This 1346-nucleotide long non-coding RNA is filed under the name Homo sapiens (human). Its description in RNAcentral is "HSALNT0337775". The record is from RNAcentral. Lineage: Eukaryota; Metazoa; Chordata; Mammalia; Primates; Hominidae.